AUUGAACGCUGGCGGCAUGCUUUACACAUGCAAGUCGAACGGUAACAGGCCUUCGGGUGCUGACGAGUGGCGAACGGGUGAGUAAUGCAUCGGAACGUACCAAGAGGUGGGGGAUACCGAAGCGAAAGUUGUGUUAAAACCGCAGGUGAUCUGGGGUUGAAAGGGGGGGCCGGGCAAGCAAUGUUUGGCUCGGCGCUUUUGGGCGGGCGAUGUCGGAUUAGCUAGUUGGGGGGGUAAAGGCCUACCAAGGCGACGAUCCGUAGCUGGUCUGAGAGGACGACCAGCCACACUGGGACUGAGACACGGCCCAGACUCCUACGGGAGGCAGCAGUGGGGAAUUUUGGACAAUGGGCGCAAGCCUGAUCCAGCAAUGCCGCGUGCGGGAAGAAGGCCUUCGGGUUGUAAACCGCUUUUGGCAGGAACGAAACGGUGUCCGCUAAUACCGGGCGCUAAUGACGGUACCUGCAGAAUAAGCACCGGCUAACUACGUG
RNAcentral lists this ribosomal RNA (491 nucleotides) under uncultured bacterium. Its description in RNAcentral is "partial 16S ribosomal RNA". It matches the Rfam family "Bacterial small subunit ribosomal RNA", at positions 29 to 507 of the family's 1533-position model. The record is from RNAcentral.